Molecule: non-coding RNA, 742 nt
Organism: Taeniopygia guttata (zebra finch)
Lineage: Eukaryota; Metazoa; Chordata; Aves; Passeriformes; Estrildidae
Source: RefSeq, a predicted model, not a curated record
AAUUGUUGGAUUUUAGAAAAAUGGGUCCUAUCACCAGCAGUAUUUUGUAAUGCAGGCACCUCAGUUUGUCUUCACAAAUGGACUAAAAAUAACAAAUCAUAACUGGGAGAAGCGCACACAUCUCUGCUAUAGCUGGGACAUAAACUAUAUUUCAAACCAAGGGCCAGUUCAAGACUACAUUCUUUCCACUGCUAGGAAUCUAAAAUUCACAAGUUGAUCACAGAGAAUGUUGUCUAUAAAUCCAAAUCAAGUCUCUAGAUUUCACAUAAUAACACAUCACAUUCAUUAUUGAUGACUCUCCUUUUAUUUUUUAGUAUGUUCCAUAACUCCUGUCCCCAGAUACAACUACACCCUCAUCCAGCGCACAUGGAUGGACUGCUGAGCUAAAGCUCCGCUUAACUUGAUAUCUGACAUAUCUUCUGUUGCAUUUAGUUACUGGUCCUUUAAGCUACUUUUGCAAAAAUGAGGAAAAGAAACACCAGACACAAGACCUGCUUAGGCUAUGGACUAGCAGCUUUUAUCACUGCCAGAAUGCCUUGGAUUUACAUAUUCACCUAUGAAGAGAUAAGAAAGGACAGACCAACCAGUGACCCAGCAGCUGUUUAGCAAGAGGCAUGCGCAGUGUGUACCUGUGCAUGCGGGACAAGGUAUUCAAACUGAUGAUGGAGCUCAAGCAGUUGAAUUAGUUCUGCAUAUUCUUUUGCUUUUUCUACAUUCAACUGAAUGAACUUAUCUGGAUCUU